Molecule: long non-coding RNA, 553 nt
Organism: Austrofundulus limnaeus
Lineage: Eukaryota; Metazoa; Chordata; Actinopteri; Cyprinodontiformes; Rivulidae
Exons: 4
Source: RefSeq, a predicted model, not a curated record
UAAGGCUGUGAUAGGAAGCAGAGACAGAGCCAUGGGAGGUUUGGAGCUUUGUAUCGCUCCUCUGUGAAAUUUCCCCCGAGAAAUUGGCCAUCAGCACAAGAGACGCUCCGCAAGAAAGAGGAAACCGUGAAAGAGAGACCAGGACUGAGCAACAUCUCAGGAGACCGAGACAAAGAAAGAGAAAAGAUGCAACAGGAGGCCCUGCAGGUGCAGUCUUUCUAUCGUCGACAUUAAAGACGGCUAAUUCGAAAAAGAUUUGACUCCCACUUUUAAGCCUGACAGCUCAAUAUCCUGUCUGAGGGUGCAGAGAGCCAACGAGGACAUGACAUAAAUCCACCAUGGAUCAAGCCUCAUGAGAAGAUCUCACAAUUCUCCAAACUGAGCCUGUCGUGACUCCUGUCUGCUGCAGAUGAGAUUCCUUCUUCGCUACCUUUUUGUGGUGAAGGAGUUUGUGUGCCUGAAAGAUUCUAGGAACUCUGCUGUUGGGUGCUAAUGCCAGAGUCUCCCAAAGCAGAUUGGCCUGUAAAAGUAAGUAAGAAGUAAGUGGAAAAGU